GGCCUAUCAGCUUGUUGGUGAGGUAAUGGCUCACCANGGCGACGACGGGUAGCCGGCCUGAGAGGGUGACCGGCCACACUGGGACUGAGACACGGCCCAGACUCCUACGGGAGGCAGCAGUGGGGAAUAUUGCACAAUGGGCGGAAGCCUGAUGCAGCGACGCCGCGUGAGGGAUGACGGCCUUCGGGUUGUAAACCUCUNUCAGUAGGGAAGAAGCGAAAGUGACGGUACCUGCAGAAGAAGCACCGGCUAACUACGUGCCAGCAGCCGCGGUAAUACGUAGGGUGCGAGCGUUAUCCGGAAUUAUUGGGCGUAAAGAGCUCGUAGGCGGUUUGUCGCGUCUGUCGUGAAAGUCCGGGGCUUAACCCCGGAUCUGCGGUGGGUACGGGCAGACUAGAGUGCAGUAGGGGAGACUGGAAUUCCUGGUGUAGCGGUGGAAUGCGCAGAUCNG
This 451-nucleotide ribosomal RNA is filed under the name Micrococcus sp. KLLF1A. RNAcentral's name for it is "bacterial SSU rRNA". It matches the Rfam family "Bacterial small subunit ribosomal RNA", at positions 235 to 700 of the family's 1533-position model. Lineage: Bacteria; Bacillati; Actinomycetota; Actinomycetes; Micrococcales; Micrococcaceae. The record is from RNAcentral.